CUGGAGAGCUGAUCCAUGAGGCGGUUCUUGCGAUUAACUACGAUGCGUCGAGUGAAGAUAUUGCUCGAGUCUGCCACGCUCAUCCCACUAUGAGCGAGGCUCUCAAGGAAGCUGCCAUGGCCACCUAUGACAAGCCGAUUCACAUCUAAAUGCAAACAGGUAUGUCACAGUUUGGUUUUUGGUUUGGUUUGGUUUAGCUUUUUUUAUUUGGUGUGUUGAUUUCUUGUUAUGUCCCACAUUAGGAGGACCGUAAAGGAGAGAGCCAGCCACCGAUGACAAGCCAAAUCGAACCGGGUUGGAUUUGGUUCGGUUUUCUGUGGUUUAGCCUUCACUUUGUCCUUUCAUUUUCUGUGGAUUAUAUUCGUUAGUUUUCUUUACAAAUGUUCAGAUUCGGGCUGGGCCUGAUCCGUAAUAAUACUUCUACAUUCACUCUACUCAUUUUGGUUUAUUGAGUAAACCAAGUUGGUUUUGAUUUCUUGCUUCCGGUUCAAUUUCCGGUUUACCUUUACCCCCAAAUUUUAUCCUUCACUUUGUCCUUUCAUUUUCCAAAUGUUCAGAUUCGGGCUGAGGCCUGAUCCGUAACAAUACUUCUACAUUCACUCUACUCAUUUUGGUUUAUCGAGUAAACCAAGUUGGUUUUGAUUUCUUGCUUCCGGUUUACGUUUACCCCCAGAUUUUAUCACUCGGUUUACAUCAAUAUUUUUCCGUGUACGUUUCACUAGUACUCGUAGACACCAAAACGAAUAUUAUUAACUCGAUGAAGAAUUGACCUUAUGCAUCUGAUUAGGAGUGGGCAAAAAACCUGAUCCAAAUCAGACCAAAAUGUAUGUUUAAACUAUUUGGUUAAAGAUUUUAAGUCUUU
Molecule: long non-coding RNA, 862 nt
Filed under: Brassica napus (rape)
Lineage: Eukaryota; Viridiplantae; Streptophyta; Magnoliopsida; Brassicales; Brassicaceae
Description: long non-coding RNA (BNAP_LNC004801)
Source: RNAcentral